CACGUAGGCGGAUCUUUAAGUCAGGGGUGAAAUCCCAAGGCUCAACCUUGGAACUGCCUUUGAUACUGGGGAUCCCGAGUCCGGAAGAGGUGAGUGGAACUGCGAGUGUAGAGGUGAAAUUCGUAGAUAUUCGCAAGAACACCAGUGGCGAAGGCGGCUCACUGGUCCGGCACUGACGCUGAGGUGCGAAAGCGUGGGGAGCAAACA
Molecule: ribosomal RNA, 207 nt
Filed under: uncultured bacterium
Lineage: Bacteria
Description: partial 16S ribosomal RNA
Rfam family: Bacterial small subunit ribosomal RNA
Source: RNAcentral